UCAACCUGGGAACUGCAGUGGAUACUGGCCAGCUAGAGUGUGAUAGAGGAUGGUGGAAUUCCCGGUGUAGCGGUGAAAUGCGUAGAGAUCGGGAGGAACACCAGUGGCGAAGGCGGCCAUCUGGAUCAACACUGACGCUGAGGCACGAAAGCGUGGGGAGCAAACAGGACUAGAUACCCUGGUAGUCCACGCCCUAAACGAUGCGAACUGGACGUUGGGAGCAACUUGGCUCUCAGUGUCGAAGCUAACGCGCUAAGUUCGCCGCCUGGGGAGUACGGUCGCAAGACUGAAACUCAAAGGAAUUGACGGGGGCCCGCACAAGCGGUGGAGUAUGUGGUUUAAUUCGAUGCAACGCGAAGAACCUUACCUGGCCUUGACAUCCACGGAACUUACCAGAGAUGGUUUGGUGCCUUCGGGAACCGUGAGACAGGUGCUGCAUGGCUGUCGUCAGCUCGUGUCGUGAGAUGUUGGGUUAAGUCCCGCAACGAGCGCAACCCUUGUCCUUAGUUGCCAGCACGUAAUGGUGGGAACUCUAAGGAGACUGCCGGUGACAAACCGGAGGAAGGUGGGGAUGACGUCAAGUCAUCAUGGCCCUUACGGCCAGGGCUACACACGUACUACAAUGGUCGGUACAGAGGGUUGCAAAGCCGCGAGGUAGAGCCAAUCCCAGAAAACCGAUCCCAGUCCGGAUCGAAGUCUGCAACUCGACUUCGUGAAGUCGGAAUCGCUAGUAAUCGCGGAUCAGAAUGCCGCGGUGAAUACGUUCCCGGGCCUUGUACACACCGCCCGUCACACCAUGGGAGUUGGUUGCUCCAGAAGUAGGU
Molecule: ribosomal RNA, 824 nt
Filed under: uncultured Lysobacterales bacterium
Lineage: Bacteria; Pseudomonadati; Pseudomonadota; Gammaproteobacteria; Lysobacterales
Description: bacterial SSU rRNA
Rfam family: Bacterial small subunit ribosomal RNA
Source: RNAcentral